This is an RNA transcript of Pieris napi, 12398 nucleotides long. It is a transcript of the gene named protocadherin-like wing polarity protein stan, with no coding region annotated. The transcript is spliced from 57 exons. The record is from RefSeq and is a predicted model, not a curated record. NCBI's taxonomy places the organism in Eukaryota, Metazoa, Arthropoda, Insecta, Lepidoptera, Pieridae.
GCCCGUUAAAGUUUAGUUUGGUUUUGAAUGUGAGUUGGAGGUGACAUGCGUGAGGCGGAGUAAUUGUUUGAAACUCGCGGAAUAACUUAUUUCACUUUUUUGUGAAUGUGGUUGGUAACAUUUUAGUGUUGUGUUGUGAUAAAGUGAACUUGAUUUUGUUUCGGAGGACGAUUAUAAAGAGUCAAAACAAAGCUCUACCGGCUACGAUGAAGAGAGACAAGUAAAACACAGUGCGUCCAAAUUGAAAGAUGGACCAACAAACAUACCGGCGAACGAGGCGCAGGUGUUGCAGGUGAACAAGCCCCAACAUGGCGUGGUGGGCGCACGCUGUGCUGGCCGCGUGCCUGCUGUCAGUGGCGGGCGCCUACCUCAUUCUGGUCCCAGACACAGCACCGCCCGGCUACACAGUACUAGAUGCGGCGGUCUACAAACUCGGUUCUGAACGAGCAUACUCCAUCGACGUCCACCGCACUGCUAACUUCGUCCAUCAUAUCCUCCGAGUCAAUAGAACCAACGGCCUGGUCACGUUGCGUAAACGGCUACGAUGUGAUGGCGUCCUUUACCCCAACCUUUUCACGUUCUACGUGGACUCUACAUCCGAACGGAUUAGAGACAUAGACUACUACAGCUUACCUAUAAGAAUUCUAGUUAUAGGCGAAGAUUGCAGCAGACGUCAUGCUGAUUUGUACGACAUCGACUUCGAUCGCGUCUACGAUCAAAGCGAUUCUGCUAUGCAGUAUGAAGAUGAUCACUUUAGAGAUAAGAGAAAUGUUAUAUAUCAAGAGAGUAUAGACUGGCGGUUAUUAGAGGAAGAUGAAAUGAGAUCUAGUCAAUUUAGUGUUCUAUCUACUGCGUAUCCAUGGUCAAGUGCGAUGUUCGAAGAUUAUGUCGCUAGAAAUAGAAGUAGGAAGAAACGUUCUCUAUUAGUACCUUUCGACAUGGCCAUCGAUGUUAAAAUUGCGGAGGCUAAGCAGUGGAUAACGGAGACAUAUGCAAGCUUCUCGAUACCAACAACAGAUAGGUGGCAGGGCAUAUGCUUAAAGAAAUCGCAGUUCGUGAACUCAUUGACGGCAUUCUUGCCUCGGACGGUUCAAAAAAUGUGUAAAGUGCAAUUUCUAGAUGUUAGUGACCCCAGAUUUGUAAUAGAGAGUAGUCAAGGUGACUUGGUUGCCAUUGAUGAUGUGUGUAUACUAGAACCGAUGUGGAAAGUGUCCAUUCUAUUCACAUUCAAUUGUGAUCAAACGAACAUAGUUGAUUCGGAUCAUAGACUCAAGAUCGUGUAUCAUCAUCAGGAGUUAAACGAUACGGACAUAGCUAGAAGAGUGAAAAGAGAAUUGAGAAAUCAAUCUCCAUACUUUGAGCAGGCGCUUUAUGUAGCUUCUGUAGCUGAAGAACAACCUCCUGGUGUCAUCGUUACAACUGUUCGCGCACGUGAUCCAGAAAAUAGUCCAGUUACAUACUCGAUGUCCAGUCUUCUGGACUCACGGUCAGCGGGAAUGUUCGCUGUGGAUACGAGAACUGGUGUGGUUACCACUCAAGCAAGACUUGACCGCGAGAGGCUGGACGUCCACUAUUUCAGAGUGGUCGCGCAAGACGACACGUUCCCACCGAGAAGUGGUACUACCACUUUACAGAUUAAUGUGUUGGAUUGCAACGACCAUUCUCCUGUGUUUGAAAUGCAGCAAUAUGAAGCUUCCGUUAGGGAAGGUGCUAGCCCCGGUACCACAGUUCUUACUCUAAAAGCCACUGAUCAAGAUAUUGGCAAAAACUCCGAGGUGGAAUACUCAAUAGAUUCGGUAACAGCUGAUCUUCUAGACCCGGAAAACAACGAAUCCAUAGACAGUAAAGAAGUAUUAGACAGCCAAGAUGUGUUCCGAGUGGAUGGGCGAAGUGGUGCGUUGCUGACUCGAGCUUCCCUGGAUAGAGAGAAAAUGUCAAGAUAUACUGUAAUUGUGAAGGCUACUGAUCAAGCCAGCCCUGUGUCUGAUAGGCUCUCCAGCACCGCCACAAUACACGUCAACGUUUUAGAUGACAAUGACAAUUACCCGCAGUUUAGCGAGAAAACUUACACAGUUACUGUAGAAGAAGAUAUCAGUGUUGCAGAUAACCCAAUAAUCGCUAAAAUAAAAGCAAAGGACGCGGAUAUUGGCGCCAAUGCAGCUAUACGGUACGCGAUAAUUGGCGGGAACACACAGAUGCAAUUUUCAAUUGACAGCUUGAGUGGGGACGUGUCUCUGGUAAAGCCGCUCGACUACGAACAAGUCAGGAGCUAUCGACUGGUGAUACGAGCCCAAGAUGGCGGGAGUCCCUCACGAUCAAACACGACCCAGCUUUUAGUUAACGUAAAAGAUGUCAACGACAAUUCUCCAAGGUUCUAUACAUCUCUUUUCCAAGAGUCUGUCAGUGAGAAUGUCCCGGUUGGAUACAGCAUUGUUAGAGUACAAGCAUACGACGCAGAUGAAGGUGUGAACGCCGAAUUAACGUAUACGUUAAGCGAUAAGGAGUAUAAUGGCAACGCUGGACUUCCAAUUACCAUAGACCCAAGGUCUGGUUGGGUCUACACAUCGAGUUCAUUGGAUAGAGAGGUGCAAUCGAAGUAUCAACUACAGGUAACAGCCACAGACAACGGAACUCCUCCCCGAUCCGCCACAGCCUCCGUAGUCGUUGUGGUUCAAGACGUGAACGACAACGACCCGGUCUUCUCUCCAGCGCAGUAUGACGUGGAACUGGCCGAAGAUGAACCGCCUGGAACUCCCGUCGUCACGGUCACAGCUACAGAUGCCGAUGAAGAUAAUAGGCUUCACUAUGAAAUCACCGGCGGUAAUACCCGUGGCCGUUUCUCUAUAACAUCACAAAAUGGCCGCGGACUCAUAACUGUGGCUCAGCCGCUGGACUUCAAACAGGAGAGGCGAUAUGUCCUCACAGUUACGGCCACAGAUUCUGGUGGAAGAUCGGACACAUCCAUGGUCAAUAUUAAUAUAACUGACGCGAAUAAUUAUGCACCGGUUUUUGAAAAUGCUCCAUAUUCUGCUUCGGUAUUUGAAGAUGCGCCCAUAGGUACCACAGUGCUAGUGGUAUCAGCCACAGACAGCGAUGUAGGUGUCAAUGCACAGAUUACAUACACCCUCACAUCUGAGAUAUCCAAUGAGGCUGUAGCUCAUCAUGAGCAAGAGUUUCUGAUUAACCCUCAAACCGGAGCGAUCACUACAAACAAACUUUUGGAUAGAGAGACUAUGAGCGGCUAUUUACUAACAGUGACUGCCCGUGAUGGUGGCGUCCCAGCCUUAUCUGAUACGACGGAUGUUGAGAUAUCUGUAGUGGACGUUAAUGAUAACGAACCGGUGUUUAAGCAACAACUUUACACAGCUACUAUAAUGGAGGAUGCGUUAGUCGGGACUUCUGUGACUCAAGUGGGCGCAACAGAUGCUGAUGUGGGCCUAAAUGGCCGAGUGCAUUAUGAAUUAGAAACGCGCGAUCGGGAGGAGGGUUCGUUUGUCAUAGACCCAGCCUCUGGGGUCAUCCGGACCAAUAAGGCCUUGGACCGGGAAUCUGUGGCCACGUAUGACUUGAAGGCAUUGGCCAUUGAUGGGGGAACGCCGCCGCAGAGUUCUACGGUAAUAGUCCACAUAAAGAUAGAAGACAUCAAUGACUCACCUCCAGUGUUCGAAAGUGAUUGCCUCACCUACUAUAUCCCCGAGAACAGUCCGAUCGGGACUACAAUAGGAGAAAUAUACGCACGAGACCCUGAUGAAGGAGCCAAUGCUGUUGUCCACUAUUCUAUUAAAGGUGGAGACGAUUCCAACAGCUUUUCCCUGGAAACUCGUCAGGGUUCAGAGAAAGCUGAACUCGUGUCAAUGGUGGACCUUGACUACGAGAGUCCGCGAAAGAAAUACGAGCUAGUAAUUAGGGCUGCAAGUCCACCUCUUUGGAAUGACGUGAGAGUGGAAAUUCUGGUCACCGAUGUCAACGAUAAUGCUCCUAUGAUGAAGGACUUCCAAGUUAUCUUCAAUAAUUACAAAGAUUGUUUUCCCGUGGGACCGUUUGGAAGAGUUCCGGCGUAUGACGCUGAUGUAGCUGAUAAGCUGCAAUAUAGAAUUCUGUCUGGGAACAACGCCAACCUGGUUCUCAUAAACGAGACGACGGGUUCCAUGAACCUAUCACCUCAACUCAAUACAAAUGUUCAAAAGCUGGCCACUAUGGAAAUAUCUGUUACAGACGGCGUUAAUGAAGUAAAGGCAGUAAUGCAACUCCUAGUUCGACUGAUAACUGAAGACAUGCUUUUCAACUCAAUAACAGUGCGUUUAAACGACAUGACGGCUGAAAGAUUCCUCUCGCCUCUACUCGGGUUCUUCAUUGAUGGCUUAGCGGCUAUUAUUCCGUGCCCCAAGGAAAACAUCUAUAUUUUUAGCAUUCAGGAUGAUACAGACGUAUCUGGCAACAUUUUGAACGUAUCACUAUCAGCGGUACGUCCAGACGCCGAAGUCGGUACGUCGACGUACUACACACCUACGCAUUUGCGCGAACGAGUCUACUUACAUAGGACCACGUUGGCCAGGCUUGCAACUGUACAGGUCCUACCGUUUGACGAUAACGUGUGCGUCCACGAGCCAUGUCUGAACUUCGAAGAGUGUCUCACCGUACUGAAGUUUGGGAACGCGUCGGGUUUCAUCUACAGCGACUCGGUCCUCUUCAGACCAAUAUAUCCUGUGACCACCUUCACGUGUCAAUGCCCAAGAGGUUUUACAGGCUCUCGUGACCAUUACAUGUGUGACACGGAAGUAGAUCUCUGCUACUCAUCACCGUGCAUCAACAACGGCACUUGUAUUAGAAGGGAGAGUGGAUAUACUUGUGUCUGUUCAGCUGGAUUUACAGGUGUAAACUGCGAAACGGUCUUAACAAAUGCGACCUGCGACUUCAAUGGCGACGGCUCCAUAUGCCGGAGUGGGUCCCAAUGCGUGGCAAGAAGAGAAGGAGGCAUUCUGUGCCAGGGCUGCACUAUCGACGCAGCAUACACCACAUCCAUGUGCGAGCUGAAAGCCAGGAGCUUUCCUGCAACUUCCUUUUUGACAUUUCCCGGCUUGAAGAAGAGACACCGCUUUCAUUUGAAGUUAGACUUUGCAACUCAAGCGACAUCAGGUCUAUUACUAUACAACGGGAGAUACAACGAGCGCCAUGACUUCGUGGCGUUGGAAGUGAUCAGUUCAGGCGCGGGUAGGGGGGGUCCAGGGUUGAGAUUCUCCUUUGCUCUUGGAGGGGGGAGGAGCGAAGUCACCGUUGAAGGAGAUGUUGCUGAUGGGGUGUGGCAUAGUGUGGAAGUCGAAUAUUAUAAUAGGACGGCAACGUUGAUCUUAGACAACUGUGACAAAGCGUUAUCUUUGGCCGGAGCGGGCGACUUCGGAAUUAAGUACGCGUGCGCCAACUUCACGAGAAAGAUAUUGCCGCCUCGCUGCGAUAUGCCCACUGAGACUUGUCACAGUGUUUUCAUUCCCAGAUUUCUAGAUCUCACUGGACCACUGCAGAUUGGAGGACUCCCAAAUAUCCCGAGCAGUUUUCAAGUUAAAAACAAGGACUACGUCGGAUGUAUAUCAGAUCUGUACAUUGAUCAUAAGUUCAUCGAUUUGAACAGUUACGUAGCAGACAAUGGUACGCUAGCAGGAUGUCCCGAGAAAAGGUCUCAAUGCAGCAGUGCGCCAUGUUACAACGACGCGGAAUGUCAGGAUUUGUGGGACACCUUCCUUUGCAAGUGUCCCGAAGGAUUUACUGGCAAGGAAUGUGCUGAAUCAACUGCUCCACCUUGGCGCUUCAGUGGAGAUGGAAUGCUCUCCUUCAAUCCUCUCUUGCGGCCGAUACAACUGCCUUGGCUCAAUGCACUUUCAAUAAGAACGAGACAACACGAUGCCUUCCUCAUGUCCAUACAAGUUGGACAGAACAGCACCAUACUUGUUACCCUGAAAUCCGGCCUUUUGCACUAUUCAUAUAAUGGUGACACAAUGUUCCUUCCGUCAACAACAUUAGCUGAUGGCAACUGGCACAGAAUAGAGAUUAAAUGGAUGGGAACAGACAUAUCUGUGAACAUAGAUUACGGACUCAGAAACGCUCUAUUACCUAUGCUUGCCAACAAGAUUCAAGGACAGUAUAUUGGAAAAAUUCUGAUCGGUGGACCUGAUACUACAGCUGGGAUAUUGUCGUCGGAUGUUGGAUAUUUUGAAGGAUGUAUACAGGAUGUACGCGUAGGAACUGCUCAAUCUCUCCUCAAUCGCCCAACAGUGAGAGAAAACGUCCGUGACGGCUGUCAGUCUAGGGCUGACUGUUUGUUGUCUAUAUGUCCGCCAUAUAGUAAAUGCGUAUCGUCAUGGGACACGACGGAAUGCGAAUGCGAUCGCGGUCGCUUCGGACCCUCGUGCGUGGCCGCGUGCGAACUUCAGCCGUGCGGCGAACACGCCACUUGCGUACCGGAUGACAGCAAGAAGGGGUACUCCUGCAACUGCCAUGUCGGGUAUUCUAUGAAUGAAGGAGAAUGCGUAGAAGAGAACACAGAAGAACAGUGUCCGGGGGGCUGGUGGGGAGUGAAAGCCUGUGGGCCUUGCGACUGCGACGCUUCGAGGGGCCUCCACCCUUACUGUGCCACUAAGACUGGGGUCUGCCAUUGUAAGGAGAACCACUACAAACCCGAAGGUUCAGAGGACUGCAUCCCUUGCCAGUGCUACGCAGCCGGUUCAGUGAACAGUUCCUGCGCCAGUCUCACGGGGCAGUGCAACUGCCGGAGUGGCGUUAUUGGCAGAGCUUGCGACUCCUGCGCAAAUAUAUAUGCCGAGGUCACGCCCAAUACUGGAUGCAAAGUUGUUUACGACGGAUGUCCGAAAUCCUUUGCGGCCGGAGUUUGGUGGCCACGAACCAAAUUUGGCAUUGAAGCUAUCACCGACUGUCCUUCAGGGUCAAGUGGUAAAGCGACCCGUAUGUGCGAUGAGACCCAAGUGAUACCAUGGCAGGAACCGGAUAUGUUUAAUUGUACCACUUCUACGUUCUAUCAGUUGAGGAAGCAGCUUCACAAAAUAGAAACAGGCGAACUUACAAUGAACACGUUCGUUGGUGUACGUUUGGCCGAAGACCUUUCUGCGGCGUGCACGAACACGCAACAUCUGUAUGGCGCUGAUAUUUUAGUGGCUGAAGGGAUUUUGUUAGAGCUUGUACAAUACGAGUUGAGACAAGGCGGAUUGAACCUAACGCAUAGUCAGGAUAAAGAUUACGUUCGGAACAUAAUAAAAUCGUCAAACACAAUCUUGGACCUAAACUAUCAAAAAGAGUGGCGACGCAUCAGCGAUUUGACAGGAAAGGGCGCAGAACAUUUGGUGCAACAAUUCGAUAAAUAUAUAUCAGUCCUGGCUGAGAGUCAACACGACACCUAUACUAGCCCCUUUGAGAUUGUUACCAGUGAUAUGGCUAUCGGCGUAGAUAUAGUAACAGCCGAAUCAAUAUAUGGCUUCGAGCCAACACAACUUAGCCGAAUCAUUGAGGGGUAUACCACGGAGAGAGUAGUUCUUCCCGAUACAUCAUCAUUCGUACACUCUCCCAUACAAACAAUGGGCUAUUACGGCAUCAAUAAGUCAAAGAGCAAGAAACCCAGCAGCCCCACGGUGUCCUUCCCGAAGUACAAUAACUACGUCAAGAGCAAGAAUAAAUUCGACAAGUUCUCAAGAGUUCUGUUGCCGCUGGAUUUGAUUGGGAUUAACAAUGUUCAAGAUAAUUUAGACACAAUGGAAUCUCGCGCAGUGUUCUCCUACCUCCAAUACUCGAGGAACUCCUCUCAGCUGAUGCCUCUCCGUAUGGAUGAGUCCGUGAGUCGGCGUUGGGGAGUUAACAUCACCGUCGGGUCUCCCAUACUUCAAGUUUCCUUAUUCGUCCCAGAAUAUGUUUGGAUGAAGGAAGCUAAGGAUGUUGAGGAUUCGGCUAAUACUAUGGAAGAUCUUGAUGGUAUCGCGUACGUAAAUAAAGGCAAUCCCCAAAAUCAAAACGACAAAAACCCAUGGAAUCCAGAUAACUCCAUACAAGACACUCACGGACCAAUAGUCAUCCAGCCAGCGUUUAAAAAACAGGAUAAUUACGCAGAAACGCAAGAAGAAAAUAUUAUGGCAGAAAAGCUGGAACAACCGAAAGCCUUAGCUUUGACCGUGGAGACGGGAAAUAUGAGUAUGGGAAGAAAGUUGGUUUAUAAAAGUUUGAAUGGGAUAAGACUGAAGAAGCCGAUACGAUUGCAAUUGUGGCUUGAUAUCAGCAGAGAGACGUUUGGCUCGAGGACAAAUCCGCAGUGCGUUCAUUGGUCUAUGGCAAGAGGGUCAGGUGAGUGGUCCCGCGUGGGAUGUCAUACAGAAAUUGACUAUAACUGGUCUCCAUACUCCAAUGACCCUCUUCUCAUCAACUGCACUUGCAACCAUCUUUCUACCUUCGCUAUUUUGGUGGAUGAAGUGGAUAUAGAGUUUAUCCCAGAACCAUCUCUUCUUGAAUCGGUUACUUCAUACACGGGAUUCAGUAUAUCCCUCCCAUUACUCCUUUGCACAUGGGCAGCUUUAUCGCUCAUGCGCGGUGGUGCGGCGACCGUGUCAAACUCCAUUCAUAAACACCUUAUUUUCUGUGUGUUCAUGGCGGAGCUUCUGUAUUUAAUCGCUUUGAAAGCAAGGAAUUCCUUGGUUCAGAAUGAGUUCGCAUGCAAAGUAAUAGCAAUGUCCCUCCACUAUUGGUGGGUGUCCGCGCUCGCGUGGAGCGCGUGCGACGCGUGGCAAGUACGCAGACUCGUACGCGAAGUACGGGACGUCAAUCACGGACCUAUCGCGGCCCAUCUCGCCGUUGCGUACGCAGCACCCGCCGUCGCCUUAGCGUUGGCCGCUGCCCAUCAUCAGCAGCAGUAUGGGAAUUCGCUAUUCUGCUGGGUGAGUUGUCACGAGGCAGUGGUGUGGUGGGUGGUGAUACCAGCGGGCGCGUACGCACUAGCGGCCGUUGUACUACUCGCGGGCGCCACGAGAGCUGCCUUCACUGUGCGGGACCAUGUUAUUGGAUUCGGGAAUUUGAGGAUGUUACUAGCCGUGAGCAUUAUCUGCCUGCCACUAGUCUGCCUGGCAUGGGCAAGUGGGCUCAUCCUGGGCAGUGAGGCAGGUGACAGGCGGAAUCUGCUCAGCUCCAUCCUGGCUGGGGCAGUGGCUUUGCACGCGGCUGCUGCUUCCCUCGGAUACAUCGCAUUUAAUAUUCGAGUACGGGAUAAUCUUAAAAGAACAAUUCUAAGAUGUCUCGGAAAGAAGGUGCCCUUAGCCGAUACUUCUGUUAUAAUAAGCACCAGUGCCCAGAAUUUAUCGCAGACAAAUAGGUCAUCAUUGGCCUACCACAGCGGAACGGAAGGUCGCCAACUUCGGAAUAUUGGUAUCUCUGCUUCAUCCACCACCUCAAGGUCUACCACGAAGACCAGCUCAAGUCCUUACAGAAGCGACGGUCAACUCCGCCAUACCAGUACAUCCACGUCCAACUACAAUACGAGUGCUAGUGACAUGCCAGCUUAUUUGAGAGGGUUCGACUCCUCGCUACAUAAAAGGAAAGAUGAUGAUCGUCGCCGGCGUCGCAAACCAACCACAGAUAACGAAACAACAGGGGAGACAGGGGAUGGCACGGAAGCCACGGACAGUGAGAGCGAGGGUAGUGCCAGGAGUCUGGAUCUUGCCUCCAGUCAUUCCUCUGAUGAUGAUGAAACUAGUACUAGAAGAUCGGAUCAUCCACCAUCUGUUAACAGGGACAGAGGCAGCAGUACAGGCGGAAGUUACUUACCAAACAUCACAGAGGGCGCUCCUUUAGGUGUUCCACCUCGUUGGCCUUCGCAUAUAAGAGAGGAAACAAAUCGGCCGGAAGGUCGCUGGUCCCAAGAAACGGGGUCGGAUGACCAGGCUUCCCCAUCUCCGAACCCGUUGCCUAACCCGGAUCUUACAUCUGACGUAUAUCACCUAAGCAGGCAUCGGAUGAAACCGUCAAUACUAGAGAAUGUACACGACACAUAUGUUGCCAGCGUCGACGCUUCGAGAUUGCCUUUGGAUAAUAGAUACGGAACCAUGGAAGACGAACUUAUGUAUGGAGUUCUACCGACCGAUACUGACAAACAAAUGCCAUAUGACCCCACAUACCCCAUAUCCCCCACCAUGUAUCGCCUUCCCACUAACCCCUACGGCUCUAAAACCUACCUUUCCUCCCGUACCUCAGACUACGGUUACAGUCCCACGAAAUACUUAAACGCGGACACAUAUGGCUCCCGGGAUUUCCGCGAAUCGGGGGUGACAUCCCGGGAACACGAUGGCUACCAAAGGGAUUUUCGGGAUUCUGGGAUAGCCACGAUGCUUAAAAACGACUAUCAAAGGAAAAUAGAGGGGCAUUAUGGAGAAUAUACGGAACGAAUGUCCGACGGUUCGGAGAAGCAUACACACGAUAAAUACCAUUUUCCAUAUACAGCCGAAGAAGACCACAUAACGUUGCGUGGGAUCACCCACUCAUCACAAGCUCCUAGUAGUGAUAGCGCAGCAGAUGGACAGCAACAAAUGGGGGCACCGUUAGCAAGUAUGGGUGAAACCAGCGAAUGGUGGCGGUUAUAUGAGAAACACUCAUUGUAAAUCAUCUUUUGCUUUGCUAACUGGUGUUGCUGCACGCAAAAUCAUCAACAUAGGGAGGAGGAAAUCUACUACUGAAGAUGACACAGAAACAAGGGUUUAGAACAAUAGUACAAGAUUUCCAAUGAAUCUCAAUUAGUUUAGUAAUUUAUUUUUACUGUGUAUAACAUUUAAGAUAGCUCUUAUUUUUGUAAAGACUGUCCCUGAUACCCACAGGCACUGCCAUAUUGCUAGAGUAUUUUAGUUUUGUCUAUGCUUUAAUAGAGAAUAAUUCUAAUGUAUAAGAAAUUAAUGUCAAAGGGAAUUGUGGAGCUGGUAAAAAUGUAUUCUUGACAACUUAAAUACAAAAGUAAAUUCAUUAUAUUUAUAAAUGAAAAUUAAAAGUGAAAUGUGCGUUUUAUCAGUUCCACUGCUCUUAGAAAUAGGAAGAUGGUUUAACUCAAUAUAAAUCCCAAAGUCAGUGUGUCGUGUAAAUAAUAUUAAUAUAAAAUGUAUAAAUAAGAUAUUUUUGUAUAACACCAAAAGAUAAGAUACAAAGCAUACAACUUACAUCAAACUUUAAGAUCGCAGUGAAAUGUAAAAAGCAAAAUACUUAGAACUUUCUAAAACAAGCACUCGUAUUCUGUAACUCGCAAUAGCGAUAGCGAUCCCGACUUUAAUGUUGAGUUUUUGUACCGCGCAAUCCUAAGGUUGUGAUGUCAGCGGGUAAUGAGAGACUACAUCAAAAUUGCAUGCAAGCAACGUGGUAAGUAAACAACGAAGCUUUUUUAGUUAGUUUAUAAUCAAAAAUUAUAUCUUUGGCUUUUUUGAAUUUCUUAAAUAUUUAAAUUCUCUCAAUCUGACAGUUCAUUUAAGGUGCAUUAAGAAUCUACUCUAUGCCCCUUGUCUAUGAUUCAAUAUUGAAACGCUACUUCACAUAGUUAAUAAAGUUUGUAGCUAAUUUGUCCUAGUUUAGAGUAAGACAAAAUUAAUAUGCAAACAUAAUAAAAAUACUCUUGGUGUAAAUAUCUAUUGAUGAGCGUGUUGUGUGCAUUUUUAAUGUUUUACGAAGAGUCCACCUAUUUUGUAAAUACUUAUGUUAACGCAUUGCAUUCUAGGAAUUAAUUAAGUAGGCAAUUAUUGAAAAGCUUUAUUUAUGUAGGAUAAAUAUUUUGCCAUAAUGAUUGAGUGUGCACUCUAUGGUUUUUUUUUGGUUCAGUAUUGCCAACUUAUCUCAGAGAUGCUAAAAUUUAUGGAUUUAAAAGUUGCUGUAAAUUAUGUUAUCAUUAAAAGUGAAAGUUAAAUUAAACAAAAUUAUUAAAGAUGAAGAAUCAGAUUAAUUUUACAAUAUAAAAUGUAGAUCUUUGUUUUGUUCAUAUAUAAUAUUGAAAUCCGAAAAUAUAUAAAGUUUUACGUGGCCUUGCAGUCAAAUAACUUUCGACUGAAGAUAUUUUUUUUAAUAAUCCUGCAUUUAGUAAAAGUCCAUAAAUAUGUAUGGGUAUGUAUGUUGUUUUUCGGGUUAGUUGGAAUGGAUUCAAUAUUAUAUUCACAAUUAAAUUGCUCAAUAAAAAAGUAUAAAAAUAAUGAAUUGAUAAAUAUACAUUUUUAUAAUAUGCUUUUAAUUUAUGAAUGUAGCUCAUUCGACGUUUUAUCAUUUUUAGCUUCAUAGCAUAAUGAAAAGGAUAUUAUUAAUGUACACUUAAAUCAGGAGUUAUAAUAAUAGUAGGUAAUAGUGAUACUGUAAACACAUUCCAUUUUAUAAAAUUAAAAAUAUAUUGUAAAAUU